AGGACUCUGAUACUGAAUGGAGUG
RNAcentral lists this non-coding RNA (24 nucleotides) under Arabidopsis thaliana (thale cress). The record is from RNAcentral. Lineage: Eukaryota; Viridiplantae; Streptophyta; Magnoliopsida; Brassicales; Brassicaceae.